This 376-nucleotide ribosomal RNA is filed under the name uncultured bacterium. RNAcentral describes it as "bacterial SSU rRNA". It matches the Rfam family "Bacterial small subunit ribosomal RNA", at positions 362 to 759 of the family's 1533-position model. The record is from RNAcentral.
UCUUGCGCAAUGGGCGAAAGCCUGACGCAGCCAUGCCGCGUGAAUGAUGAAGGUCUUACCCCCCGUAAAAUUCUUUCACCGGGGACGAUAAUGACGGUACCCGGAGAAGAAGCCCCGGCUAACUUCGUGCCAGCAGCCGCGGUAAUACGAAGGGGGCUAGCGUUGCUCGGAAUUACUGGGCGUAAAGGGAGCGUAGGCGGACAUUUAAGUCAGGGGUGAAAUCCCGGGGCUCAACCUCGGAAUUGCCUUUGAUACUGGGUGUCUUGAGUAUGAGAGAGGUGUGUGGAACUCCGAGUGUAGAGGUGAAAUUCGUAGAUAUUCGGAAGAACACCAGGGCGAAGGCGACACACGGCUCAUUACGACGCGAGGCCGAAAG